Molecule: RNA transcript, 4122 nt
Organism: Canis lupus familiaris (dog)
Lineage: Eukaryota; Metazoa; Chordata; Mammalia; Carnivora; Canidae
Gene: ABLIM2
Gene name: actin binding LIM protein family member 2
Exons: 24
Source: RefSeq, a predicted model, not a curated record
CCUCUGGUGUGUCCAUCUGGAGUCGUGCCGGCCGAGGAGGCUCUCCUGCAGCUCAGCCGCCGCCCGCAGCCUCCGUGGGUGCCGGUCCUUGGUGAGGAGGCCAUGCUCCAUGGGGAUGCCUGGAGGAGAGACAGUGUCGGAACCCCAGGCCGCUCACAGCCCCCUGGAGAAGCCGCCCAGCACCGCCAUCCUGUGCAACACCUGCGGGAAUGUGUGCAAGGGGGAGGUGCUGAGGGUCCAGAACAAGUACUUCCACAUCAAGUGCUUCGUCUGCAAAGCAUGUGGCUGUGACCUGGCCGAGGGUGGCUUCUUCGUGCGGCAGGGCGAGUACAUCUGCACGCUGGACUACCAGCGCCUGUAUGGGACCCGCUGCUUCAGCUGCGACCAGUUCAUCGAGGGCGAGGUGGUGUCGGCGCUGGGCAAGACCUACCACCCCGACUGCUUCGUGUGUGCCGUGUGUCGAUUGCCUUUCCCGCCGGGGGACCGAGUGACUUUCAAUGGGAAGGAAUGCAUGUGCCAGAAGUGCUCCCUGCCCAAGACAGCGGGCAGCAGUGCGUACCUGUCCCAGGGCCUCUGGAGUUGUGGAGGCUGCGGCGCAGAAAUAAAAAAUGGUCAGUCCCUAGUGGCUUUGGACAAACACUGGCAUUUGGGCUGUUUUAAGUGUGAGACGUGCGGGAAGCAGCUCGAUGCGGAGUACAUCAGCAAGGACGGGCUGCCCUACUGUGAGGCCGACUACCACACCAAGUUCGGCAUCCGCUGUGACGGCUGUGAGAAGUACAUCACGGGGCACGUGCUGGAGGCAGGAGAAAAACACUACCACCCAUUGUGUGCGCUAUGCGUCAGGUGUGGCCGGAUGUUUGCGGAAGGCGAGGAGAUGUAUCUUCAAGGUUCCUCCAUCUGGCACCCGGCGUGCCGACAAGCAGCCAGAACUGAAGACAAAAACAAGAUGCACGCCCAGGGUUGCCACCAAGUGUCCCGGGGCGCCACUCCCUAUGCCUUACAGGAAACCAGGAGCUCCUCAGAGAGCAUCAUUUCUGUACCUGCUUCCAGCACCUCGGGGUCUCCAAGCCGCGUGAUCUAUGCGAAGCUGGGCGAUGAGAUUCUCGACUACAGGGACUUGGCUGCUCUUCCUAAAAGCAAGGCCAUCUAUAACAUCGACCGCCCCGACAUGAUCUCCUACUCGCCGUACAUCAGCCACUCGGCGGCCGGCAGGCAGAGCUGCCACGAGUCCCCACAGGUACUUUCGCCAACGCCGACCGAGGGGGAUCAGGAUGACCGCUCCUACAAGCAGUGCCGGACCUCCAGCCCCAGCUCCACUGGGUCAGUCAGUCUCGGGCGCUACACUCCGACCUCACGGUCGCCCCAGCACUACAGCCGUCCAGCUGGUACUGUGAGUGUUGGUACCAGUAGCUGCCUGUCCCUGUCCCAACACCCAAGCCCUACAUCCGUGUUCAGACAUCAUUACAUCCCCUACUUCCGAGGCAGUGAAAGUGGCCGGAGCACCCCCAGCCUCUCGGUGCUCUCAGACAGCAAGCCUCCCCCCUGCACCUACCAGCAGGCGCCUCGCCACUUCCACGUCCCAGACACUGGCGUAAAAGAUAACAUCUAUAGGAAACCCCCUAUCUACAAACAGCAUGGUCCUGUAGCCCAAUCCCCAAUUUCCAAGCUCUCGGGCCUGAUGUCAGCCUUGUCCUUGAUGGUGCACAAGGCAGGGUGCUCCAAAAGGCUGGAAGGUCCAAGCCCUCCGCAGGCUGCAGCCGUCAGGCGACCGGAUGGAGAGGACAGAAUGUUCGAGCAAGAUAACAGGAAGCAGAAGACCAGCUGGCUGAUUCUCAAGGGGGAUGCAGACAGUAGGACUAACUCUCCAGACCUAGACAGCCAGUCUUUGUCCCACAGUAGCGGGACCGAUAGAGACCCUCUCCAAACAAUGCAAGGGGACAACUUUUACUCACGAUUCCCCUAUUCCAAAUCUGACCCUCUCCCAGGACACGGAAAGAAUGGCUUGGACCACCGGAAUGCCAAUCUGGCCCCUUGUGGAGCAGACCCGGAUGCCAGCUGGGGCACGCGAGAAUACAAGGUAAGAGGGGCUGCCCGCUGCCACGCCGACCUCUUCCCGCCACGAUGCACCGGCCCAGAUCUAUCCUUAUGACGCCCUCAUUGUCACAAACCGAAUUCGUGUGAAACUGCCCAAAGAUGUGGACAGGACGCGACUGGAGAGGCACCUGUCGCCCGAGGAGUUCCAGGAAGUGUUUGGGAUGAGCAUGGAAGAGUUUGACCGCCUGGCCCUCUGGAAGAGGAAUGACCUCAAGAAGAAAGCCCUGUUGUUUUGACGGCCGCCAGGGUGCCUGACCACACGCGUGCCAGCAGCAGAGCACGGGGCACCUGGCGAGAACCACGAAAACCCUUCCUCUUGCACCUGGCUCUGGCUUCUCUGUGUCCGUGAGGGGUGGGCAGUGGGCCCCUGGAGAGGGCUGGGCUGGAGGCUGGGGCAGGAGGGGGUCCCAGAGUAGGUGCAACCACUGUUUCUGCCAGCAAUGCUCCUGCCCCUAGUUCAGAGCCCGGACGCCUUGCUUUGCACUGCUCCUUCCCCGCUGUUGCUUGGCAUCAGGGAGAUGCUGCAAAGUAGCUGUCCCAGGAAAUCAAGGAACAUUUCCCUGACCAUGCAGCCCACCCUUCCGACCCCCGUGCAGUGCCCCAACCCCUGCACUAAGCCCUGGGGGCACAGAGGUGCCUGAGACUUGGGAUUUGAGGAGGUUUGUCGAUGACAGAUGCUGACACAAUCAUGGGUGGGUGGGCAGAUGGCUCCUGGGGCCUGCUCACCCCCCACCCCUUGCUCAGCCCCGGGGAGGCCCGGCCUUGCACACAGACGGGCCAGGCCAGGGAGAGUGCUGCAGAGCACCCAGGGCUGCACAAAGUGAAGUGUGGGGUGCAUGAUUUUUUUGCAGCCGCUUGUGAGGAGUCUGGUUUUAGGGACAAACGUCAACCUGACAGGGUACUGUCUGCCAGGGCCCUCCGUGCACUGCAUUUUUCUUCCAAAUCAUCCCCUAGAUGCCUAAAUGAUAUCUUUAAAGUAACACAGAAGUUUUUAUUUUAUUAAAGAGCAUAGCCUACUUAAACAUAAGACGACAUAUAUAGAGUUCCAUUUUACGGUCCCACGGAAGGGGAGCGCCUCCAGCCUUAUUCUCCACUGUUUGGAUCUGUGUGGUUUUGCUUUUUGGUGUGCUCCUAACACCUAGGGCUCCUUGUUGGUGUUCUUUUCAUCUUUUUUUUUUCUUUUUCACCUGUCACACGGGUGCCCUUAAAGGCAGCCCUUGGCCACGUGAUGCUGUUUGUAAGUAUGUGUGAAGUGUAGCCACCACGGUCUGCCUCGCUGUCACUCUCCACGUCUUGGAGACAAAACAUCCUCUUCUGGUGGCCAAAGCCCCGGAACAAAGGAUUUCCAUGCACCCAGCCGAAUAAUACCCAACUACCCAACAUAGCUCUUGAUCUGCCCUUUUGUGAUGUGGCCUGUGUGGUGCCUGCCUCCCCCCCCCCCCCCCCCCGCAGUGAAACAUGACCCCCCACCCCCUGGGGGUAAAGUGUCUUCUUGUGUGCGUGGUCCUGAGACAGGCACCUGCCCGCUGGGGAGGGAGGAGGGAGAGCCACCCUCUUCUGGCCUCCAAGGUCAGCAGGUGGUCCUGCAGCAGAAGGCUUGGCCGGACCCCCCACUGAAAGGUGUCCGUGUCUGUAAUUAGGAGAUGGCAGGGUGUGCUGCCUGUCACAGGACGCUUGUACAGUGAGUUCAGAGGCAUAUGAAACACUAGGAAGGUGUCACCAAAGUCUGUUUCCCUGUCUUCUGUGGAGCUGUGUCCCUCUGUAUGUCCUGGAGGUCCUGUCUGUGAGUCAGCGUUACUCAGAUCCUUCCAGCCUCACCACACACCCUGUUGCGCAUCGGCUUCCCACCAGCCCGGCUCAGCCAGGGAGGCGAGUUUCUAGCACCUGACGCACUUCCCUCCAUUUAGCAGCCUGAGCCCGAGCAACUGGAAACCCCCGUUUUCUCAUUAGUGCAAUGUUAUGUCAGCUCCCAGGGGAGCCUUGGAAAAAUAAAGGACGGUGUAUCCUAACUUGUGAAGGUGAAAACCA